Molecule: ribosomal RNA, 506 nt
Filed under: uncultured bacterium
Lineage: Bacteria
Description: partial 16S ribosomal RNA
Rfam family: Bacterial small subunit ribosomal RNA
Source: RNAcentral
AUUGAACGCUGGCGGCAGGCCUAACACAUGCAAGUCGAACGGUAACAGGAAACAGCUUGCUGUUUCGCUGACGAGUGGCGGACGGGUGAGUAAUGUCUGGGAAACUGCCUGAUGGAGGGGGAUAACUACUGGAAACGGUAGCUAAUACCGCAUAACGUCGCAAGACCAAAGAGGGGGACCUUCGGGCCUCUUGCCAUCGGAUGUGCCCAGAUGGGAUUAGCUAGUAGGUGGGGUAACGGCGCACCUAGGCGACGAGCCCUAGCUGGUCUGAGAGGAUGACCAGCGACACUGGAAAUGAGACACGGUCCAGACUCCUACGGGAGGCGGCAGUGGGGAAUAUUGCACAAUGGGCGCAAGCCUGAUGCAGCCAUGUCGCGUGUAUGAAGAAGGCCUUCGGGUUGUAAAGUACUUUCAGCGGGGAGGAAGGGAGUAAAGUUAAUACCUUUGCUCAUUGACGUUACCCGCAGAAGAAGCACCGGCUAACUCCGUGCCAGCCGCCGCCGUAA